GAAUUGCAUUCGAUACUGGGAGGCUAGAGUUUGGUAGAGGUAAGUGGAAUUCCAGGUGUAGCGGUGAAAUGCGUAGAUAUCUGGAGGAACAUCAGUGGCGAAGGCGGCUUACUGGACCAAAACUGACGCUGAGGUACGAAAGCGUGGGUAGCAAACAGGAUUAGAUACCCUGGUAGUCCACGCCCUAAACGAUGAGAACUAGUUGUUGGGAGCCCUUAAUAGCUCUUAGUAACGAAGCUAACGCGUUAAGUUCUCCGCCUGGGGAGUACGGCCGCAAGGUUGAAACUCAAAGGAAUUGACGGGGGCCCGCACAAGCGGUGGAGCAUGUGGUUUAAUUCGAUGCAACGCGAAGAACCUUACCAGCCCUUGACAUCCUCGGAACUUACUAGAGAUAG
This 395-nucleotide ribosomal RNA is filed under the name uncultured bacterium. RNAcentral describes it as "bacterial SSU rRNA". It matches the Rfam family "Bacterial small subunit ribosomal RNA", at positions 618 to 1009 of the family's 1533-position model. The record is from RNAcentral.